AAUUUUAAUAAAGUUUCUAUCAUGUUGUUUUUGAAUUUUUUUUUAUUUUUUUAUUUUUUUUAAUACCAUAUUUUUAAGUUAUUUGGUAAAGCAUGUUUUUCUCAAAUACAAAUAUGUUAUGUCAAACACAUGCUAUUCUUUCCGCUUUUUUUUUUGGAAAAAUUGCCACCAUUAAUCACAACUUUACCCCAUCCACUGUUAUUAAUCCCAACUUCCAUUUAUUUUCUAUCACUCCCAAAUUUGUACCCUAUUAAUUUUUAUCACCCCCAACUGGUCAUCUAACUUGAUGUAGGAGGUUACCAGACACGUGUCAACGCGUGAUAGGUCCGAAAAAAAUUAAAAAAAAUAAAUAAAUAAAUUUUAAAAAAAAAAAUUAAAACCCUAACCCCUACCCCAGUAGGUGGUAGCCCCUGCCUUUACCGGUAGGCGACAGCUAGCCCCUGCCGUUUCGCAGCUCCAUCUUCUUCCUCGUCCGUUUUCGCCCCCUUUCCCACCGAAUUUCACCAUCCUUUAGCAAAUCAGCCACUGCAACGCAACAACCACCAGCCUAAUUUCACCCACCAACACCACCAGUAAGACACACCGCCAGUCUCGCCCACCAACACCACCAAUUUCUUCUCGAUGCCGCACAAAUUCCAGCCACCAAAUCAACAAUAUCGGCCAACAAAUACAUCAAUUUAUCAUAUUGGGAGGUGCGGAGGAUUGCAACGGUGGGGAAGGAGGAGGAAGAAGGGAAGCAGCGGGGUUAGGGUUUAGGGAGGGGCUGGGGGAUCGCGACGGCCGGGAAAGGUAAGGUUGGGAUUUGCCGGUCGGAGAAGGAGGACGCUGCCGUCGAUGGGUUGCCGCAGUCGGGGGGAGGGGGAGGUGGCUGUGCAGUAGGGAUGAAGGUAGUUUUGGUUUUUUGUUUUAAUUUUUUUAAUUUUUUUGUCCAAUCACAUGCUGACAUGUGUACAAGUAAUUCCAAAUCAGCAAUGUUUACCUCUUCAACCGAUUUCAAGUCACUUGGGGGGUGACAAAAAUUAAUAGGGUACAAAGUUGGGAGUGAUAGAAAAUAAAUGAAAAUUGUGAUUAAUAACAGCCGACGGAGCAAAAUUGAGAUUAAUGGUGACAAUUUUUCCUUAUUUUUAUUAUUUAAUUGGGUGCACCCUGAUGUACUGAUCAAGUCAUUGAAUACUUGAAAUACUAGCGGUUUUAACAGUACACCGUCGCCGCUACUACAUAACUAUAAGUCUAUAACGGGAAUAGCCGUUAGACGCCAAAAUCAUUCGCGGGAACUUCCAUGAAAAAGGAGAGAGAGAGAUGGACGAUUCAGGAGCAAUUCUCCUCCAAAUUUCAACCCUCAAGGACAUGCUUGACAAGGUUAAUGAUGAAAUCGAAGCGAAUAUCCAAAUUACAAGGGAAAUUGAAUCGGAAAUUGUUAAAAUUGAAGAGAUUGAGAAUGCGUUGGGUGCUAGAGAAUCUGAGCUCAUGAAGUUGAUUUAUUUGUCUCAAUUUGAAUUAAGUGGUUUGAUUACUGUCACAGUUAACUCAAGAAAAUCAAUAGCAGCUUUGACUGAAGAGAUUAAUGCUCAAAGGAGGAAAAAAGAUGAUCUACUUGAUAGAUUGAACAAGAAGCGGGAAAAUUUUUCCAUGGCGUGCGUUGAAUUCCAAAAGAACAUUGAAAGUGAAGAUUGUAACAAACUGAGGGCAAUGUUGUUGGAGAAAGAAUCUCUUGAGGAUGAGAUCCACAAGCUUGAUCAGACCGGUAACAAGUUUAAAGUACCAGUGAAAGCACUUUCUGAGGACAUGCUUGAAGAUCUAUACAGGUCUAAUUCUGCACUAGCAACUGAGAUACAAGAAAGACAGGCUGAAAAUGAGCAAGUGCUGAAAGAAAUUGAGGAGCUUAGGUCUAUACUGCUUUCCACCAUUUCCGAUGUUGAUGAUCCUUGGUUAUAAUAAUGGUACCAAGUUGCAGUCUUGCACAAGUUUUUUGAUUUGAGGAAUGAAGAUGUCGGUUAAAGAUGCCUUCAAAUAAUCUCUGCAGCCAAAUCAUCCCUUUCAUUGGUCCAUAAAGAGGAGUGGAUGACUUCUUAGCUGCAGGUUCAUAACAUCAUAGACAUGAUAAGUAGAAAAACUCUCAUCUCACUCUUAGAGACUGCUGGUGGCUGCAGAGUGCAGACGUGUUGCUUUGGUACUGGAGUGGUGACAUAAACUUUAAUAGAUGUUAGCAUUUAACUUGGAAUUGGAAGAGGAGGUGCAGGAUCAAAAGGCCCGAAACUCUGAAAGUGAUUUGCUCAUUGUGUUGUUCUUUGUAAAAUUCACCAGAGCCCUCAUUGUGUUGUCCUUGGCCCCUUUUUUUUUUUUUUUUUUUUUUUUUUUUUUUUUUUUUUUUUUUUUUUUUUUUUUUUUUUUUUUAAUUUUACGCACGUAUCUACAAUUUGGUCAUUCAAAUAGAAUUUUUUGAUAGAAACUACCUAUUAAACACCACUUUUGGAAAUAUUUACAUUUUAAAACUUUUCUUUUUAUAAAAUCAAAAACUACCCUAGAAACCUAAAAGGUUUGGGCAGCACUAUCUAUAACGUAGUAACUAUUUUUGUCCAAAAUGUCUGUUUGUGGGCCCCACUGAUCACUCUAAUUUAUGAAGUUUAAUUCCCCAAAUUAAUAAAACACGAUUUGAUUCUUGUUUCGAACCAC
RNA transcript from Chenopodium quinoa (quinoa), 2673 nucleotides. RefSeq lists it as uncharacterized. The record is from RefSeq and is a predicted model, not a curated record. NCBI's taxonomy places the organism in Eukaryota, Viridiplantae, Streptophyta, Magnoliopsida, Caryophyllales, Amaranthaceae. The transcript is spliced from 7 exons.